This 84-nucleotide transfer RNA is filed under the name Badhamia polycephala. RNAcentral's name for it is "Physarum polycephalum tRNA-Leu". It matches the Rfam family "tRNA". Rfam says of the family: Transfer RNA (tRNA) molecules are approximately 80 nucleotides in length. Their secondary structure includes four short double-helical elements and three loops (D, anti-codon, and T loops). The record is from RNAcentral. Lineage: Eukaryota; Evosea; Eumycetozoa; Physariida; Physaraceae.
GCAAGAGUAGUGAAGUGGUCAAACACGGGAGACUUAAGAUCUUCUCCUUCGGGUUCGUGGGUUCAAACCCCACCUCUUGCACCA